AGCUUUUCGAAUUCGUGUUAAGAUUUUGUCAGACAUCAAUCCAUUAGAGCUAAUCACACUUCCAAGAUAAGUGAAGUU
RNAcentral lists this microRNA precursor (78 nucleotides) under Schistosoma haematobium. Its description in RNAcentral is "mir-3492 microRNA precursor family". It matches the Rfam family "mir-3492 microRNA precursor family". Lineage: Eukaryota; Metazoa; Platyhelminthes; Trematoda; Strigeidida; Schistosomatidae. The record is from Rfam by way of RNAcentral.